Molecule: non-coding RNA, 31 nt
Filed under: Mus musculus (house mouse)
Lineage: Eukaryota; Metazoa; Chordata; Mammalia; Rodentia; Muridae
Source: RNAcentral
UAGCUAUGAUAGAGGUUUCCUGGAUGCCACU